RNAcentral lists this ribosomal RNA (464 nucleotides) under uncultured bacterium. RNAcentral describes it as "partial 16S ribosomal RNA". It matches the Rfam family "Bacterial small subunit ribosomal RNA", at positions 29 to 507 of the family's 1533-position model. The record is from RNAcentral.
ACGCACGCUGGCGGCGUGCUUAACACAUGCCAGUCGAACGGAGAGGCCCUGCUUGCAGGGUACUCGAGUGGCGAACGGGUGAGUAACACGUGGGUGAUCUGCCCUGCACUUCGGGAUAAGCCUGGGAAACUGGGUCUAAUACCGGAUAGGAGCCAUUUUUAGUGUGAUGGUUGGAAAGUUUUUUCGGUGUAGGAUGAGCUCGCGGCCUAUCAGCUUGUUGGUGGGGUAAUGGCCUACCAAGGCGGCGACGGGUAGCCGGCCUGAGAGGGUGGACGGCCACAUUGGGACUGAGAUACGGCCCAGACUCCUACGGGAGGCAGCAGUGGGGAAUAUUGCACAAUGGGCGCAAGCCUGAUGCAGCGACGCCGCGUGGGGGAUGACGGCCUUCGGGUUGUAAACUCCUUUCGCUAGGGACGAAGCUUUUUGUGACGGUACCUAGAUAAGAAGCACCGGCUAACUACGUG